UACGUAGGGGGCAAGCGUUGUCCGGAAUCAUUGGGCGUAAAGCGCGCGUAGGCGGUCCGGUAAGACCGCUGUAAAAGUCCAGGGCUCAACCCUGGAAAGCCGGUGGAUACUGUCGGGCUAGAGUCCGGAAGAGGCGAGUGGAAUUCCUGAUGUAGCAGUGGAAUGCGCAGAUAUCAGGAGGAACACCGAUGGCGAAGGCAGCUCGCUGGGACGGUACUGACGCUGAGGCGCGAAAGCGUGGGGAGCGAACAGG
RNAcentral lists this ribosomal RNA (253 nucleotides) under uncultured bacterium. RNAcentral describes it as "partial 16S ribosomal RNA". It matches the Rfam family "Bacterial small subunit ribosomal RNA", at positions 524 to 776 of the family's 1533-position model. The record is from RNAcentral.